AUUUUCUUGUUUCGGGAGAUGGGCUUUCGUAUUAGUUGGGUUUGAUUCUACCGAGGCAAUGUUCAGGAAAUUGGGCUUCCUUUUUCUAAGUUUUGAAUAUAUCUUUGGUCACUUUCUUUGUUUGUGCAAGUAAUCUGAUUUUGCUUCGAGCACAGGGCUUCACAAGUCAAGUAACGGAUCCCAUUACUGUAGGGCUUCCCGCCCAAAUGCUCCAAUAGAGCUCUUCCCGCCUUCCAGAUACUAGUGAAAACUUGUUUUAUAGGUUGGUUGGAAUGGGGGGUUGCUCCUAUCUUGACUCGAUGCUUGGUCACUAGCAGACUUGUCCCUCCGCGGAUUCGUAGACCCACUAAAGUCAAGAUAGGUCAAAGAAAGGACUAUCUCCGGUGGAUCUUUUAACUUCAGUCUGUGGUCGUAGAGAAGGUAAAUAGCCUUAUUUCGGGGCUGGGGAGAAAGGAGAAGCGGCAGUGUCGGUAAAGCCGCAAGUCCUAAUCGUAGCACAUAGGCCGUUGAAGAAAUUCGGUAAGCCUUGGCAAGCCGCCUUGUACGGGCGGAAAGCAUUUAUCGUAUAGUAGUAAUAGUUAUACCCCUCGUUCCUACUUGAGUCGGCUAGUCCCGUCCUGGGAAGCUAAGAACCGUCAUAGCCCAAAGGUGCGAAUUCAAAAAUGUCUUCAAAGAAAGAAGACUAGGGACUCUCAAUAACGGGGAAUAAAGACUCAGAGUGGUUCUCUGUCUGUGCCCCUUUUUCCAGCCAUGUAGGUUUUCUUGAAGCACAAGCCAUUCUAAGAGCGCCAUUCAAGCGGCUAAAGACUGUUGGGAGAGUCCAGGGCGGUCCGGCGACCAUUGCCCCUUUUGGAUGUAGCUAUUUCCUUACAUAUAGAGGAAUCGAGAAGAUUCGUAUACACCCAGAAGCUCGCAAGACCCACGGCGCCUUGCUACAAUAACAAGUGGCUAGUUCGUUGGGGGAUACCCGUCUACUUCGCUUCACCAAGCAGACCCCACGUACUUUAAUUGUCCGUCUGCUACUACGAACCCGACCCAUAGGCCCAUACCUUUCUCGACCGAAGCCAUAAGUAGUAGUUUAACGCUUGAUCGAAGCGGCAGUUACCAGGCCGGGCAGAAGGACGCAAAAAGCCAAAUGUUACAGGGGCUUGGGAUGCCUCACCGUUCAGGAACAGGAUGAGGCAGAAGCACUUGCUCUGAGAAAGAGAGAAGUGUUAUAAAUAAAGAAAGCUCUUUCAAGCUCGUGUAAUAGCAGCAAAGGGCAGCCCUUAUAUUAGAGAAAAGUUUGAGAAAGGGGCACUCAUGACAGCAAGAAAAGGUGAUCCCCGAGCCUAGAAAAAGAGUUAAGAGUUCACUUGCUUCUCCACCUGCGCGUUUAUUCCCAGUUCGAUCGUGGCUCGGAGAGCUACUUGAUGGGUUAGCGUCUUCCUGUCUUUCCUGCUAUUCCAACAACGGCUUGGGUUAGCGUCUUCCUGGAUAGCUUUCUUUCACUCUUUCACGGCCCGGCCGAGCAACAAUAGGAAGUGCUUUCUUAGCAUAAAAAAC
RNAcentral lists this long non-coding RNA (1545 nucleotides) under Fragaria vesca (wild strawberry). RNAcentral's name for it is "long non-coding RNA (FVES_LNC005141)". Lineage: Eukaryota; Viridiplantae; Streptophyta; Magnoliopsida; Rosales; Rosaceae. The record is from RNAcentral.